GCAGUCAAAUGUGCAUAGUAUAUUAUCUAUGUCUAGUGAUAAAGUCCAUUUGCGUUCUGCACAUAGACUAUAUUGCUCACAUACGAUCUGCAGCCUAAGAGCAACAUGAGAUCAUAGUACUGGUCUAAUGAUGUUGAAAGACAAGUCUACCAUUGUCCAGCCUCCAAAUUCUCAAACAUAA
Molecule: small nucleolar RNA, 181 nt
Organism: Ahaetulla prasina
Lineage: Eukaryota; Metazoa; Chordata; Lepidosauria; Squamata; Colubridae
Product: small nucleolar RNA SNORA23
Exons: 1
Source: RefSeq, a predicted model, not a curated record